This 464-nucleotide ribosomal RNA is filed under the name uncultured bacterium. RNAcentral's name for it is "partial 16S ribosomal RNA". It matches the Rfam family "Bacterial small subunit ribosomal RNA", at positions 28 to 507 of the family's 1533-position model. The record is from RNAcentral.
GACGAACGCUGGCGGCGUGCUUAACACAUGCCAGUCGAGCGGAAAGGCCCUUUCGGGGGUCCUCGAGCGGCGAACGGGUGAGUAACACGUGAGUAAUCUGCCCUUCACUUGGGGAUAACCUCCGGAAACGGUGGCUAAUACCCGAUACGACCAUUCCUCGCAUGAGGUGGUGGUGGAAAGUUUUUCGGUGGGGGAUGUGCUCGCGGCCUAUCAGCUUGUUGGUGGGGUAAUGGCCUACCAAGGCUUCGACGGGUAGCCGGCCUGAGAGGGUGACCGGCCACACUGGGACUGAGACACGGCCCAGACUCCUACGGGAGGCAGCAGUGGGGAAUAUUGGACAAUGGGCGGAAGCCUGAUCCAGCAACGCCGCGUGAGGGAUGACGGCCUUCGGGUUGUAAACCUCUUUCACCUGUGACGAAGCGAAAGUGACGGUAGCAGGAGAAGAAGCACCGGCCAACUACGUG